Molecule: non-coding RNA, 21 nt
Filed under: Caenorhabditis elegans
Lineage: Eukaryota; Metazoa; Nematoda; Chromadorea; Rhabditida; Rhabditidae
Source: RNAcentral
UCACUUAUCUAUCUCGAGAUA